RNAcentral lists this long non-coding RNA (737 nucleotides) under Marmota monax (woodchuck). The record is from RNAcentral. Lineage: Eukaryota; Metazoa; Chordata; Mammalia; Rodentia; Sciuridae.
AGUCAGACAGAUCUUGAAUCUUAGCUCUCUAGCUGACUAGCUUCAGGACUUUGUAAAAGAAUCACUUAAUAAUUCCUGCUAGGGUUCGAAUGUCCCCACCAAAGUGCAUGUGGAAAUUUCAUUCUCAUUGUGAGGUACUGAGGAGAUGGAAAAUUUAAAGGUGAUUAGGUCAUUAGGGCUCUGCCAUGAAUAGAUUAAUGGGUUAGUGACUUAUCUCAAGAUCGAGCCUAUGACACAAGCCAAUUUGGCUCUGUUUUUUGUAUGUACCUAUCUUAUCAUGUGAUACCCUGUACCUUCUUGGGACUCUACAAAGAGCCUGCACCAGCAAGUAAAGAAGUAUCCUGUGAAAGGCACAUUGUAAAGACCCAUGACCAAAUUCCCUAGAACCACAUCAGUGCAGGGAUAGAGUUUAUAGUUCUCUUGAGAAACUUAAGACCAAAUCAUAUAUAUGCAAUCUGAACAAGAUACCUCACCAAAGAAAGUGGAAAAUAGCCAUAUGAAAAGAUGUUCAACAUCAACUGUCGCUAGAGAACUGAAAAUAAAUUAAAACAAUGAGACACUGUAGCACACCUAUUAAAAUGGCUGAAAUCCCAAAGUGGAUAUCACAAAAUGCUGGAGAGGAUAUGGAGCAACAGGAACUCUCCUUCAUUGCUAGUGGAAGCACAAAAUGGUACAAAAUUGUGGAAGACAGUUUGGCAGUUUCUUAUACAACUAAACUGACUCCUACCAUAUGAUCC